UCUCUCUCUUGUUAUCGUUCUUCUUCCUCCUCCUCUCUCACUUUGUGUUUCUUUUCCAUUCCUUCUCCUCUCUCAAUUCUUCCCCAAAUCUCUUAGAACCCUAACUCCAAACUCAGGGCAACAAGGACAGCAGGUCGGCAACGAGGACGGGGACGAGUACGGCUUCCAUCUUUGUCCUCUCAUUUUUUUCUCCAAACCCAUCUCUUAGAACCCUAGCCCCAAAUUAAACUCACGGCAACAAGGACGGUAAAUCGGCAACGAGGAAGGCGACGAGUACGGCUUCUCCAGAAUAAUGAAUAUUGACCGUAGUUGGAUGUGGAGGCGCUUGGAUGAUAAUGGGUUUCUUUGAGAUGAAUUCGUAACAAAGGAAAAAGCACUUGGUAGAGAAGUGACUGAUCUUGAGCUAUUUCAAAGAUGCCAUAGAAAGAACAAAGGAAUCAGGGAGUUCAUCGACAACAAAUCCAAAAGAAUUAGUGAAGAAUACCUUGCAGAUUAAUGAGUUAACAAAAGUUAUGGAGGAAUUUUCAAAAUGAGAAGAAGAAAAUAAAAAAUUGCUUGAAAUUGCUCUUGAAGAAGUUCGAAAGAGGGAGGAAGAGGCUCGAAAGAGGGAGGAAGAGGCUCGAAAGAGGGAUGAAGAGGCUCGGAAGAGGGAGGCAGACCUACAAGAACUAGUUCGAAAAUUAAUUCAAGAUGUGGGAUACACAAACCAUCAAUUUGCUGGUGGGUCGGGACAACAGGAGCAACAACAUUCCAGGAAAGAUAAUUAGUUUAUUUUUUUUGUUGGUUGUUUAUCACUUAGUGUAUGUUGAUUUGGGUUGUUUAUGACUUAGUGUAUGUUGAUUUGGGUUGUACUUUGACUUAUGUUUGUUGACUUGGGAGUAGACAUUGAUAUUAUUUGGUAGUAUUUGGAUGAUGACAUCAAUUAUAUUAGUGUUGUUGUAUUA
Molecule: long non-coding RNA, 944 nt
Organism: Sesamum indicum (sesame)
Lineage: Eukaryota; Viridiplantae; Streptophyta; Magnoliopsida; Lamiales; Pedaliaceae
Source: RefSeq, a predicted model, not a curated record